UACGAAAGGGGCUAGCGUUGUUCGGAAUUACUGGGCGUAAAGCGCACGUAGGCGGCCUUGUAAGUUGGGGGUGAAAUCCCCGGGCUCAACCCGGGAACUGCCUUCAAGACUGCAAAGCUGGAGGAUGCGAGAGGUUGGCGGAAUUCCGAGUGUAGAGGUGAAAUUCGUAGAUAUUCGGAAGAACACCAGUGGCGAAGGCGGCCAACUGGCGCAUUUCUGACGCUGAGGUGCGAAAGCGUGGGGAGCAAACAGG
RNAcentral lists this ribosomal RNA (253 nucleotides) under uncultured bacterium. RNAcentral's name for it is "partial 16S ribosomal RNA". It matches the Rfam family "Bacterial small subunit ribosomal RNA", at positions 524 to 776 of the family's 1533-position model. The record is from RNAcentral.